GCCUGCAUAGGUCACGCCCACCUGGUGAUAGGCCCCGCCCCUCCCUCAGUCCCGCCCAGGCCACAGGUGGGCCCAGCUCGGACCCUGGGACCCAGAAACCCGCGCCCAGCUGUCACCCCCUACCCAGACUCAGUUGUGCCCACCGCAGUUUCUGCACCGGAUGUUUCUCACAUCUCCGACCUAAGAGCCAAUCAUCCCUAAAUCCCAGCUUUGUCCUGAAUCCUAAUCCCGUGUUCCUCCUUCCACCCUUCCGUCCAGAUGUUCCCAAAUUCCUUUUCUCUUGUUUUCCCGCCUCAGUGCUUCUCAGAAACCAGACAGAACAGGAUCUGCUGCCUAAAAUAGCCAUUUAACUACAGUAUCAACAGAAGAGCAAUAUGCCCAGUUACACAAGUGCACCGCCAACUCCCAUCAGCUCAGGGUGGCCAAUGAGAUGUAAGCGGAAGUUGUCAUGUGGGACUCAAGGAAUGCUCAGGGGGUCCUCUCGAAAAAAGGAUUCCACGGCUUCAAAGAGAUUGCAAACCACUUCUCCAGACCCACUCCUUCCUUCUGAGGAGGAUAUCAACAUCCUUCUGAGGAGGGGGUUCAGGACCUCACCCAGAUCGGCAGCAGCAGAACCAGUGCCAGAACUCCACUCUGACUCUGGCAGGUCCAGGGCUCCUUCCACAACACUGUACAGCCUCAGCUAUUCCAGCACAGGGCAGAGGCCCACAUGUUAGGGACCACGGAGCCCUGCCCUGGGCCGGGGGUCAAGUGAAGUGAUCUCUAAGGUUCCCUUCUAAUCCUGAGAGUCCAAGCUAUACAAGUUCACAACUGAAACCUGUGACCACUUUCCAAAUUGAGUAAUUGAAAGAAUAACACCUAUGUGCAUAUGUAAGUGCUCACAAAUUUAUUAAAAAAUGGAAGUUUU
Felis catus (domestic cat) is the source of this 907-nucleotide long non-coding RNA. RefSeq lists it as uncharacterized. The transcript has 3 exons. Lineage: Eukaryota; Metazoa; Chordata; Mammalia; Carnivora; Felidae. The record is from RefSeq and is a predicted model, not a curated record.